AGUGGAGUAGAGUAGUUUGGUAGCUCACGAGGCUCAUAACCUUGAGGUCACGGGUUCGAUUCUCGUCUCCGCAC
Molecule: non-coding RNA, 74 nt
Organism: Triticum aestivum (bread wheat)
Lineage: Eukaryota; Viridiplantae; Streptophyta; Magnoliopsida; Poales; Poaceae
Source: Rfam